AUUGAACGCUGGCGGCAUGCCUUACACAUGCAAGUCGAACGGUAACGGGCCUUCGGGUGCCGACGAGUGGUGAACGGGUGAGUAAUACAUCGGAACGUGCCCGCUCGCGGGGGAUAACGAGGCGAAAGCUUUGCUCAUACCGCAUACGAUCUACGGUUGAAAGCCGCGGACCGCAAGGCCUUGCGCGGACGGAGCGGCCGAUGGCAGAUUAGGUAGUUGGUGGGUUAAAAGCUUACCAAGCCGACGAUUUGUAGCUGGUCUGAGAGGAUGAUCAGCCACACUGGGACUGAGACACGGCCCAGACUCCUACGGGAGGCAGCAGUAGGGAAUUUUGGACAAUGGGCGCAAGCCUGAUCCAGCCAUGCCGCGUGCAGGAUGAAGGCCUUCGGAUUGUAAACUGCUUUUGUACGGAACGAAAAGCCUUCUUAUAAUACAGGAGGGUCAUGACGGUACCGUAAGAAUAAGCACCGGCUAACUACGUG
This 482-nucleotide ribosomal RNA is filed under the name uncultured bacterium. Its description in RNAcentral is "partial 16S ribosomal RNA". It matches the Rfam family "Bacterial small subunit ribosomal RNA", at positions 30 to 507 of the family's 1533-position model. The record is from RNAcentral.